RNAcentral lists this ribosomal RNA (425 nucleotides) under uncultured bacterium. RNAcentral's name for it is "bacterial SSU rRNA". It matches the Rfam family "Bacterial small subunit ribosomal RNA", at positions 354 to 796 of the family's 1533-position model. The record is from RNAcentral.
GUGGGGAAUAUUGGACAAUGGGCGCAAGCCUGAUCCAGCAAUGCCGCGUGAGUGAAGAAGGUCUUCGGAUUGUAAAGCUCUUUUGGCGGGGACGAUGAUGACGGUACCCGCAGAAUAAGCCCCGGCUAACUUCGUGCCAGCAGCCGCGGUAAUACGAAGGGGGCUAGCGUUGCUCGGAAUGACUGGGCGUAAAGGGCGCGUAGGCGGAUUGUACAGUCAGACGUGAAAUUCCUGGGCUCAACCUGGGGGCUGCGUUUGAUACGUAUAGUCUUGAGUGAGGAAGAGGGUUGUGGAAUUCCCAGUGUAGAGGUGAAAUUCGUAGAUAUUGGGAAGAACACCGGUGGCGAAGGCGGCAACCUGGUCCUUUACUGACGCUGAGGCGCGAAAGCGUGGGGAGCAAACAGGAUUAGAAACCCCAGUAGUCC